UGGUGGGUAGUUUGACUGGGGCGGUCUCCUCCCAAAGCGUAACGGAGGAGCACGAAGGUUAGCUAAUCCUGGUCGGACAUCAGGAGGUUAGUGCAAUGGCAUAAGCUAGCUUGACUGCGAGCGUGACGGCGCGAGCAGGUGCGAAAGCAGGUCAUAGUGAUCCGGUGGUUCUGAAUGGAAGGGCCAUCGCUCAACGGAUAAAAGGUACUCCGGGGAUAACAGGCUGAUACCGCCCAAGAGUUCAUAUCGACGGCGGUGUUUGGCACCUCGAUGUCGGCUCAUCACAUCCUGGGGCUGAAGUAGGUCCCAAGGGUAUGGCUGUUCGCCAUUUAAAGUGGUACGCGAGCUGGGUUUAGAACGUCGUGAGACAGUUCGGUCCCUAUCUGCCGUGGGCG
RNAcentral lists this ribosomal RNA (395 nucleotides) under Klebsiella pneumoniae. RNAcentral's name for it is "partial 23S ribosomal RNA". It matches the Rfam family "Bacterial large subunit ribosomal RNA", at positions 2259 to 2653 of the family's 2925-position model. The record is from RNAcentral. Lineage: Bacteria; Pseudomonadati; Pseudomonadota; Gammaproteobacteria; Enterobacterales; Enterobacteriaceae.